UGAUGAGCAUUGUUUAAUUCUUGAGUUCCUCAAUAAAAGUAGUCUUCGCAAUUUAGCAAAGCUUUGAUGAGCAAUGUUUAAUUCUUAAGUUCCACAACAGAAGUGUAUGCAAUUUAAGCAAAGCUUUGAUGAGCACUGUUUCAUUCUUGAGUUCCACAUUAGAUGUCUAUGCAAUUUAGCAAAGCUUUGAUUUGCAUUGUUUAAUUCUUGAGUUCCACAAUAGAGGUAGACUUUGCAAUUUAGCUAAGGUUUGAUGAGCAUUGUUAAAUUCUUGAGUUCCACAAUAGAAGUCUAUGCAAUUUAAGCAAAGCUUUGAUGAGCAUUGUUUCAUUCUUUAGUUCCACAUUAGAAGUCUAUGCAAUUUAGCAAAGCUUUGAUGUGCAUUGUUUAAUUCUUGAGUUCCACACUAGAAGUAGUCUUCGCAAUUUAGCAAAGCUUUGAUGUGCAUUGUUUAAUUCUUGAGUUCCACAAUUGAUGUGGUGUUUUCAGUUUAGCAAAGCUUUUAUGAGCGUUGAUUUAUUCUUGAGUUCCAUAAUAGAAGUCUAUUCAAUUUACAAAGGUUUUGAUGAGAAUUGUUUAAUUCUUGAGUUCCACAUUACAAGUAGUCUUCGCUAUUUAGCAAAGCUUUGAUGAGUAUUGUUUAUUUCUUGAGUUGCACAAUAAUAGUCUAUGCAAUUUAAGCAAACCUUUGACGAGCAUUCUUUCAUUCUUGAGUUCCAUAUUAGAAGUCUAUGCAAUUUUGCAAAUUUUUUAUGAGUAUUGUUUAAUUCUAGAGUUCCAUAAUAGAUUUAGUCUUCACAAUUUAGCAAAGCUAUUAUGAGCAUCGUUUAAUUCUUACGUUCCACAAUAGAAGUCUAUGCAAUUUAAGCAAAGCUUUGAUGAGCAUUGUUUCAUUCUUGGGCUCUACAUUGGAUGUCUAUGUAAUUUUUCAAAGCAUUGAUGAACAUUGUUUAAUUCUUAAUUUCCAUAAUAUAAAUAGUCUUUGCAAUUUAGCAAAGCUUUGAUGAGCAUUUUUUAAUUCUUGAGUUCCAAAAUCGUGUAUGCAAUUUAAGCAAAGCUUUGAUGAGCAUUGUUUAAUACUUGAGUUCCACAUUAGAAGUCUAUGCAAUUUAUUAAAGCUUUGAUGAGCAUUGUUUAAUUGCAGAGCUUCGCAAUAGAAGUAAUCUUUGCAAUUUAGCAAAGGUUUGAUGAGCAUUGUUUGAUUCUUUAGUUCAACAAUAGAAGUCUAUGCAAUUUUGUAACAACGUAAAUUUCAAACCAAAAAUUUCAUUUUUGUCACAACCAUUUUCACAUAAAAUGUUUUAUAAAGUAUCUAAUAUUAGUUAUCAAAAUAUAUCAUAUCCCAAGAUCACAAAAUUCAAAUCCUCUCUCUCUAGUGUGUAAGAGUCACGCCGGCGCCUUCCCACAGUCCUCGCUAGUACCUGAAACACAUAGCACAACAAAUGUAAGCAUAUUGCUUAGUGAAUUCACCAAAAUACCCUUACACACUAUGCCUUUCCAGGCCAUACUCUACACGACCUUCCGGUCCAUGUGUCUCAAGGGACUUCUCCCGGUCCUAGUCGACCUUUCGGUCCUACUCGUAUCGACCUUCCGGUCCAUGACUCCCUGACCUUCCGGUCCACGUCAUAAUGCCUUCCGGCCCAUAUCAUACAUAGCAUAUAUAUCACAUUCAUAACGCAUACAAAACCUGCAACGCAUAGCGUACAAAACAUGCAACUCAUAGCAUACAAGACCUUCCGGUCACACAUAGGUACCUUUCCAGGUACAGUAUAGUGAGAAGACUCACCUCAGAUAUCUCGGUAAGUCUCUGUCUCAGUAGAAAUGUGAUCUAGCCUCCGCCUAAUCACAUAAAGCAAAUACUCCCAUAAAUACAACUGAACUCAACCCUAAAAGUCAACAAGGUCAACGGUCAACUUUGACCCGACUCAGCGAGUGCACUAGGGCGACUCGGUGAGUCUACAUGUGUCCACAGCCUCACUCUUAGACCCUCUCUUGGCACAUCGAGUACUCCCCUGACUCGAUAAGUUCCACCUGGCAAGAAUCGCAGGGCCACCCUGACUCAACUCGCCGAGUCCCAAGAACAACUCGGCGAGUUCCAACUCGAACUCAGACCCCUGACUCUCCCUGACUCACCGAGUCAUUCCCCCAACUCGACAAGUCCACUCAUUGAGUGAUUUACGGGCAACCUUCAUACUAUACGCCGAGUCUGUUCUUCGGACUCGGCGAGUUCAUGCCAUGCACAAACUCAAAACGACUUCUGAGGUUAGAUCUGUUCCAUACAAUCAUAGAUCUAGCCUCCCCAAGCAUGAUAAACACGUAAAGUUUGGACCUUGACACACAUAUAACAUAGAAAUGGUCCAAAAUGGUGAUUUAGCCCCAAAAAUGACAUUCUAAGCUCAGGACUUCCAAAAUGGCUCAUAAAGCUCCAAGGGUCAAGGUCUCUGGACCUCUUUGAGUCUAGAUCCAAAGCACAAAAUCGAAAGGGGACUAAAUACUCUACAUACUCUUCUUCUAAAGGGUCUAAAAACCCUAACUCUAUGAAUCAACACCCAAAACUGGAGAAGGUCCGAAGGAAUACCUUAAUAUGAAGCCUUUGAUCUCUGAAGACACUAGAUUUGCACUUCCUUCAGCCUUUUUUGCCUUGGUCACCUUCUCCUUCAAAUUUCACCUACAAAAGAUCAACAAUAGCCUCUCUUCACCUCACAAACGACCAUAAGGGCCUUUAUAUAGGUCUCAAACCUUGGAAAUUAGGGUUUCAUUAAACAGCAUGGACUCGCCGAGUCCACUAAUGAACUCGCCGAGUCCAGCUGUGAACUCGCAUCCAAAUCCGCGACCAUACUCGGCGAGUGUAGACGCCAACUUGCCGAGUUCCCCCACAAAACCCAAAAAUAAAGGGACAAAAUCUCAUACCUGGAAAUCCGGGUGUUACAAUUCUCCCCCACUAGAAUCAGACUUCGCCCCCGAAGUCUCACUCUGCAAACAACUCCGGAUGCUGCUCCCGCAUCUCACGCUCCGGUACCCAAGUCAACUCUGACCCUUUCCGAUGCUGCCACUGGACCUGCACCAGUGGCACUUCCUUGUUCCUUAAAACCUUGAUCUUUUGAUCCCUGAUCGCCACCGGUCACACAGCAUAAUUCAGGCUCGCAUCCACCUGGAUAUCUUCUAAUGGCACCACCGCCGACUCGUCGGCUAUACACUUCCGCAACUGCGAUAUGUGGAAGUGUCAUAAAUCUGACCCAAUUCUGCUGGCAACUCCAAAUGAUAGGCUACUCUGCCCACCCUCGCGAUCACCCUGAAACGACGAAUAUAUCGGGGCCCCAACUUGCCCCUCUUCCUGAAUCGGAUCACUCCUUUCCAAGGAGAGACAUUUAGGAGCACGAAGUCGCCGACCUGAAACUCGAGCUCGGAUCGGCGUCUGUCUGCAUAACUCUUCUGCCGACUCUGGGCGGUCAAUAACCUCUGUCUGACCUGCUGGAUCUGCUCUGUCGUCUGCAGCACAAUCUCGGUGCUGCCCAUCACACGCUGCCCCACUUCUCCCCAGCAAAUGGGGGUUCAACACCUCCUCCCAUACAACAGCUCAAAGGGCGGCAUGCCAAUGCUCGAAUGAUAGCUGUUGUUAUAAGAAAACUCCGCCAAGGGCAAAUACGUGUCCCAACUCCCUCCGAAAUCUAAUACACAUGCCCGAAGCAUAUCCUCGAGUGUCUGAAUCAUCCGCUCACUCUGCACGUCCGUCUGUGGGUGGUAUGCAGUACUGAAAUGCAGCCUCGUACCCAACUCCUCGUGAAACUUCUUCCAAAAUCUGGAAGUAAAUCGCACAUCUCAAUCUGAAAAAAUCGAGAUUGGAACUCCAUGCCGCGAUACCACCUCCCUCACAUACAACUCUGUCUGCCUCUCAGCAGAAGAGCUCUCACUGAUUGCAAGAAAGUGAGCACGCUUCGUCAACCUGUCCACAAUCUCCCAAAUUGCAUCGACACCCCUCGCGGUCCUAGGCAAUUUGGUGAUGAAAUCCAUGGUAAUCUGUUCCCAUUUCCACUCUGGAAUCUCUAAUGGCUGGCGCUUACCAUGUGGACGGUGGGGCUCNUCCACUCUGGAAUCUCUAAUGGCUGCAGCUUACCAUGUGGACGCUGGUGCUCGGCCUUCACCCUGCGGCAUCUCAAGCACCUCUCCACAAACCAUGCGACAUCCCUCUUCAUACAGGGCCACCAAUAAUCCUUCUUCGGGUCCAAAUACAUCUUUGUGGCCCCGGGAUGGAUCGAAAAUUUCGAUCGAUGAGCCUCCUCCAUCAACAUGGUACGCGUCCCGCCGACAGACGGUACCCAAAUCCGGCCCUAAAAUGUCAUAAGCCCCCGGCUAUCAGUAACAAAUUCUGAUACCAACCCGAUGACUCACUCCCUCUUCUGGCUUUCUGACCUCACAGCCUCAGCCUGGGCCCCUCGGAUAGCAUCCAACACCGGGGUCAUCACUAUCAAUCUCAACCAAACAUCCCGCAAUGGGGCGCCCUUCGCCCUACGGCUUAGAGCAUCGACUACAACAUUAGCCUUGCCCGGGUGGUACAGGAUCUCACAAUCAUAAUCCUUGACCACGUCCAACCACCAUCUCUGGCGUAUAUUCAGGUUGGGCUGAUCCAUCAAAUACUUCAAGCUCUUGUGGUCCGUGUAUAUCGUACACCGAACCCCAUACAGAUAAUGUCGCUAAAUCUUGAGGGCGAACACUACCGCUCCCAGUUCCAAAUCAUGAGUGGGAUAUCUCGACUCAUGAGGCUUAAGUUGCCUCGAUGCAUAUGCUAUCACAUGCCCCCUCUGCAUAAGCACCGCUCCUAGACCGGAUAUCGAUGCAUCACAAUAAACCACAAAAUCUUCCAUCCCUUCUGGAAGAGCUAGAACUGGUGCUUCGCAUAAUUUUUGGCGAAGUGUCUCGAACGAGGUCUGCUGCUCCAGACCCUAAGAAAACGCAGCACCCUUCCGGGUCAACUUCGUGAAUGGCACGGCGAUCUUGGAGAAAUCCUUAAUAAAUCUCCGAUAAUAGCCGGCUAAACCCAGAAAACUCCUGAUCUCAGUGGGUGACCUCGGCACCUCCCAUCUCAUGACCACCUCAAUCUUGGCUCGAUCAACCAAUAUCCCAUUCUGGUUAACGAUGUGUCCAAGAAACUGAACCUCUCGUAGCCAGAACUCGCAUUUGGAGAACUUGGCAUAAAGCCUCUCCGAUCUCAGAACUCCGAGGAUCUCCCUCAAAUGCUCCUCAUGUUGCUCUCUGGUUCUCGAAUAUACCAAUAUGUCGUCGAUGAACACAGUCACUGAGUGAUCCAACAUCGGUCUACACACCCUGUUCAUGAGAUCCAUGAACACCACAGGUGCGUUGGUGAGUCCGAAAGGCAUCACCACGAACUCGUAAUGCCCAUAACGAGUCCGAAAUGCUAUCUUCCGGACGUCCUCCUCCCGCACCCUCACCUGAUGAUACCUAGACCUCAAAUCGAUCUUGGAGAACCAAGAUGCUCCCUGCAACUGGUCAAACAAAUUGUCGAUCCUCGGCAACGGGUAACGGUUCUUGACCGUUAGCUUAUUCAGCUCACGAUAAUCAAUGCACAUCCGGAGCGAGCCAUCCUUCUUCUUGACAAAAAGGAUGGGCGCCCCCCAUGGCAAACUGCUCGGCCUAAUAAACCCCUUCCCCGACAGCGCCUGAAGCUGCAAGGAUAACUCCUGCAUUUCCAGAGGCGCCAGGCGAUAAGGCGCCUUAGCGAUGGGCGCAACUCCCGAAACCAACUCAAUACUGAACUCUACCUGCCUCUCCGGAGGCACACCUGGCAAAUCCUCUGGAAACACAUCUGGAAACUUGCGCGCUAUCGGAACCUCCUCAACCGACUUCGGUCCCUCUGAAAAAAAAACCCUCGCAUCCAUCACAUAUGCCACAAAUCCUCUACAGCCCUGUUGUAGACUCUGUCUCGCUUUGGCGGCCGAACAAAAUGCUGAUCCCGCACGUGUACCCUCACCGUGCACUGUAAGAACUCCCCCACUAGGGUCUCGAAUCGUCACCAACUGACGCUCGCAGUCUAUCACAGCUCCAUAUCUGCUCAACCAAUCCAUACCCACUAUACACACACGUCCCCCAUCGUGAUCGGAACUAGAUCAAUUGGGAACUCCACACCGAAAAACUCAAGGACACAUCCUUGAAUCACAUCCGAAGCAUACACUGCUCACUCAUCAGCUAUGGAAACUCAUAGAGGACGACUCAACGUCUCUCGACGGAUACUAAUGCACUGACUAAAAGCCAAGGAAACAAAUGACCGACUCGCACCCGAGUCAAAUAAAACCAGAGCAGGUACAGAACUCACAAGAAAAGUACCUAUGCAUAUCAUCAUAUAAGCAUAAAAACUCAAAUCAAAUAAAAGAUGAAAGAGAAUACAUACCAGCCACAACAUCGGGCGCCGCGCGGACCUCUUCUGCGGUCAACUGAAAUGCCCUCCCUCGAGCCUUCGGGGCCUCGACCUUCACCGGCCGAANCCCGGCCGAAUUGGUAUCCCUAGCAGCAGGCGCAGAUCCCUGUGAUGAUCCCUGGUGUAGCUGAGAGCACUCGGCCUUCCGAUGGCCGGUCUGGUUGCAAUGGAAACAAACCAUAAAUCCCUUGGGGCAAUCCUUGGCGAUAUGCCUCUCCUUGACACAUUUGUAGCAAGCACCCGAUCGACAGGCCCCCUCAUGACCCUUGCCGCACUUCCCACAAGUGCGUCCCUUCUGGCCUCUAGUCCUCGAAUCGGCGGACUUGGUCCGCUUGGCUGCCGGCUGAGACUGAGCCGGCCGCCGAUCCAUCCUCUGAGGAGUCUCCAACUUAAUCUCUCUCUUCCGGGCAUUUGCCUGGAGCUCAGCAAAUGUCCGGUAUGUUGAGUUCGACACGAACUCCCGAAUGUCUCUCCUCAGAAUACCCAAAUACCGGCUCAUCCGAGCCUGCUCAGUUGACACCUGCUCAGGGCAGAACAUCGCCCUCUCAUGAAACUUCCGGGUGACCACAGUAACCAAAUCAUUACCCUGCUUGAGGGUCAAGAACUCCUGAACCAGCCGUUCCCUCUCCACCGGGGGAACAUACUCGUCCCUCAACAUGGUGGUGAACCUCUCCCAGGUCACUGCUAAAAUCUCUACAAGAGUGAAGUCCGCUGUCACGAACCUCCACCAAUCCUUCUCUCCCAAGCGAAGCUGGUUCAAAGCGAACCGUACCCUCAGAUGCUCAGAUCAUGAACACGUAUAGAAGCAUCCCUCAACGUCAUCAAUCCAUCUCAUCGCAGCGAUCGGAUCCUGCGUCCCAUCAAACUCGGGUGGCUUCGUGUUGCUGAACUCCCGGAACAACAACGAGUCACCCCCCUGAGGUCUGGCAGCAGCAACANNNNNNNNNNAGCGGCUGCGGCCUCAGUCACCGCGGCGUACCGCUCAUCAAAAGUUUCCAACAGUGUGGUCUUGAUAGAACCAAACAUCUCUGGAAUCUCGGCCCUAAUCGCCGCAGCCACCUCAUCGUGGAUCAUCUGACGAAGCUCCUCGUCACUCACACCGCUCGCCUCAGGUCUGUGGCGUGUCCUAACCAUGAUUCCUCUGAAAUACAACAAAAAAUAUCAUAGACUCGAUCGAGCAUAAUCAUACUCGAUGACGCCACCCUACUCGUCAUCCGUUGCCCAAAAGAUUCUUACUUGGAAUGCCCACUGAUCCGGUGUCUUUAGUAGUACGGGCCCAAUACUACUAACCAUACCGCAUCAAUAUUCACUCCAAGUCCUCCUCCUUGGAUCCUGGAUUACGAGUACUCUACUCUCAUGAGCUCCUAACUGCUAUACACUCGUUCUCAAAGCAUCUCAUCAGCAGAAAUCUCCUAGGCUAAUGCAUCACAAAUCAGGCCACUCUAGUCCUAAUAUAUAACCUAGCCUACUCUAGCAUGCAUAAUGUAACAUAACAUAUCUUAUAACACAUAAUGUAAGGGUACUUUUGGAAAUUCACCGUUCGGGUGUUGACUGAUCGUACACACGGCUCUGCUCUGUUUGUCUCAAAACUCUCUUUACUCUUUACNCUCGGGCGCGGGCUGAUCGUACACACAUGUCUUGCUCUGCGUCUUUUCAAAAAUCUUUUAAUCUUUUGAAAAUUACAUCUCAAAUCCUCAGUUUGCGUUCAGAUACGCCCGAAGGUGCAUCCGAAUCUCUCAAACCAAGGCUUUGAUACCAACUUGUAACAACAUAAAUUUCAAACCAAAAAUUUCAUUUUUGUCAACCAUUUUCACAUAAAAUGUUUUAUAAACUAUCCAAUAUUAGUUAUCAAAACAUAUCAUAUCCCAAGAUCACAAAAAUCAAAUCCUCUCUCUCUAGUGUGUAUGAGUCACGCCGACGCCUUCCCACGGUCCUCGCUAGUACCUGAAACACAUAACACAACAACUUUAAGCAUAUUGCUUAGUGAAUUCCCCAAUAUACCCUUACACACAUAUGCCUUUCCAGGCCAUACUCUACGCGACCUUCCAGUCCAUGUGUCUCAGGGGACUUCCGUCCUAGUCCCAGUAGACCUUCCGGUCCUACUCGUAUCGACCUUUCGGUCCAUGACUCCCUGACCUUCUGGUCCACGUCAUAAUGCCUUCCGGCCCAUAUCAUACGUAGCAUAUAUAUCACAUUCAUAACGCAUACAGAACCUGCAACGCAUAUCAUACAAAGCAUGCAACUCAUAACAUACAAGACCUUUCGGUCACACAUAGGUACCUUUCUAGGUACUAUAGUGAGAAGACUCACCUCAGAUAUCUCGAUAAGUCUCUGUCUUGGUAGAAAUGUGAUUUAGCCUCCGCCUAAUCACAUAAAGCUAAUACUCCCAUAAAUACAAUUGAACUCAACCCUAAAAGUCAACAAGGUCAACGGUCAACUUUGACCCGACUUGGCGAGUGCACUAGGGCGACUCGGCGAGUCUACACGUGUCCACAGACUCACUCUUAGACCCUCUAUUGGCACGUCGAGUACUCCCCUGACUCGACGAGUUCCACCGGGCAAGAAUCACGGGGCCACCCCGACUCAACUCGCCGAGUCCCAAGAACAACUCGGCGAGUUCCAACUCAAACUCAGACCCCUGACUCUCCCUGACUCACCGAGUCAUUCCCCUAACUCAACAAGUCCAUUCACUGAGUGAUUUACGGGAAACCUUCAAACUACUCGCCGCGUCUGUUCUUCGGACUCGGCGAGUUCAUGCCAUGCACAAACUCAAAACGAAUUCUGAGGUUAGAUCUGUUCCAUACAAUCAUAGAUCUAGCCUCCCCAUGAUAAACCCGUAAAGUUCGAACCUUGACACACAUAUAACAUAGAAAUGGUCCAAAAUGGUGAUUUAGCCCCAAAAAUGACAUUCUAAGCUCAUGACUUCCAAAAUGGCUCAUAAAGCUCCAAGGGUUAAGGUCUAUGGACCUCUUUGAGUCCAGAUCCAAAGCACAAACUCGAAAGGGGACUAAAUACUUUACAUACUCUUCUUCUAAAGGGUCUAAAAACCCUAACUCUAAGAAUCAACACCCAAAACUGGAGAAGGUCCGAAGGAGUACCUUUAUAUGAAGCCCUUGAUCUCUGAAGACACUAGAUUUGCACUUCCUUCAGCCUUCUUUGCCAUGGUCACCUUCUCCUUCAAAUUUCACCAACAAAAGAUCAAGAAUAGCCUCUCUUCACCUUACAAAAAACCUAAGACUCUCUCUGGGGUGUGGUAGCCACAAUGGACGGCCAUAAGGGCCUUGAUAUAGGUCUCAAACCCUGGAAAUUAGGGUUUCAUUAAACAGCGUGGACUCGCCGAGUCCAGCUGUGAACUCGCAUCCAAAUCCGCGACCAUACUCGGCGAGUCUAGACGCUAACUCACCGAGUUCCCCCACAAAACCCAAAAAUAAAGGGACAAAAUCUCAUACCUGAAAUCCAGGUGUUACAGAUUUAAGUAAAGAUUUGAUGAGCAUUGUUUCAUAUCUGAGUUCCACAUUAAAAGUCUAUGCAAUUUAGCAAAGCUUUGAUGAGCAUUGUUAAAUUCUUGAGUUCCACAAUAGAAGUCUAUGCAAUUUAGCAAAGCUUUGAUGAGCAUUGUUAAAUUCUUGAGUUCCACAAUAGAAGUCUAUGAAAUUUAAGCAAAGCUUUGAUGAGCAUUGUUUCAUUCUUUAAUGUCACAUUAGAAGUCUAUGCAAUUUAGCAAAGCUUUGAUGUGCAUUGUUUAAUUCUUGAGUUCCACACUAGAAAUAGUCUUCGCAAUUUAGCAAAGCUUUGAUGAGCAUUGUUUAAUUCAUGACUUCCACAAUUGAUGUGGUGUUUUCAGUUUAGCAAAGCUUUUAUGAGCAUUGUUUAAUUCUUGAGUUCUACAAUAGAAGUCUAUGCAAUUUACAAAGGUUUUGAUGAGCAUUGUUUAAUUCUUGAGUUCUACAAUAGAAGUCUAUGCAAUUUACAAAGGUUUUGAUGAGCAUUGUUUAAUUCUUGAGUUCCACAUUACAAGCAGUGUUCGCUAUUUAGCAAAGCUUUGAUGAGUAUUGUUUCAUUCUUGGGCUCUAUGUUAGAAGUCUAUGCAAUUUUGCAAAGCAUUGAUGAGCAUUGUUUAAUUCUUGAGUUCCACAUUACAAGCAGUGUUCGCUAUUUAGCAAAGCUUUGAUGAGUAUUGUUUCAUUCUUGGGCUCUAUGUUAGAAGUCUAUGCAAUUUUGCAAAGCAUUGAUGAGCAUUGUUUAAUUCUUGAGUUCCAUAAUAUAUAUAGUCUUUUCAAUUUAGCAAAGCUUUGAUGACCAUAGUUUAAUUCUUGAGUUCCAAAAUCGUGUAUGCAAUUUAUGCAAAGCUUUGAUGAGCAUUGUUUCAUUAUUGAGUUCCACAUUAGAAGUCUAUGCAAUUUAGCAAAGCUUUGAUGUGCAUUGUUUAAUUCUAGAGUUCCACAAUAGAAGUAAUCAUCGCAAUUUAGCAAAGGUUUGAUGAGCAUUGUUUAGUUCUUUAGUUCCACAAUAUAAGUCUAAGCAAUUUAAGUAAAGCUUUGAUGAGCAUUGUUUCAUUAUUGAGUUCCACAUUAGAAGUCUAUGCAAUUUUGCAAAGUUUUGAUGAGCACUGUUUAAUUCUUGAGUUCCACGAUAAAAGUAAUCCUCGCAAUUUAGCAAACCUUUGAUGAGCAAUGAUUAAUUCUUAAGUUCCACAAUAGAAGUCUAUACAAUUUAAGUGAAGCUUUGAUGAGCAUUGUUUCAUUCUUGAGUUCCACAUUAGAUGUCUAUGCAAUUUAGCAAAGCUUUGAUUUGCAUUGUUUAAUUCUUGAGUUCCACAAUAGAUGUAGACUUUGCAAUUUAGAUAAGCUUUAAUGAGCAUUGUUAAAUUCUUGAGUUCCACAAUAGAAGUCUAUGCAAUUUAAGCAAAGCUUUGAUGAGCAUUGUUUCAUUCUUUAGUUCCACAUUAGAAGUCUAUGCAAUUCAGCAAAGCUGUGAUGUGCAUUGUUUAAUUUUUGAGUUCCACAAUAGAAGUAGUCUUUGUGUCACACCCCGAAACCGAAGGCGGAAACGUUCUGGGGCGGAGGACAUCAUGAAUAUCGCAACCAAUGUACAUAGUAAGCGUAGUAAACACAAAGCAAUACAUUACAUAAUGUUAUUACAUUUGUUUGAAAUCAAAGUGUUACAUGUGUCAUACAUAUACAUAUCAUAUGAACAAAAGUAAAGACGUGUCUUCUACGUACUCCGUCUUCGCCAAAAGGAUCGCUAGUACCUGUCUAAUGUGGACCUGAGAAUACAAGCAGUUUGAAAAUCAACAUAAAGCUGGUGAGUUCAUAAGACGUUUGUUUUCUGAAAAUGUACAAGUUUCCUUUGGUUCUCCGAAAAAGUUUGUUAUCCAAGAAAAUCCCAUAUUUUCUUAUAAGUGUAGUUUAGUUAUCCAUUAGUUACACGGUCUAGUUAAGAACAGUUCAGUUAUCCCAGGAAAAACCCUUAUUUUCCUAAAAGUAAAGUUUAGUUAAUGUUCUGAAUUUCCGUUAAAUACAACUGUGUAUAGUCUAAUACGUAAGACUAUAUAUUGAAAUUCAUGGGAUUACUAUCUCGUACUAGAUAUAAGAUAACCUUAAUACACAAAGACUAUAGAUUGAAAGUCAUGGGAUUACCGUCCCGUACUAGAUAUAAUACUAUGGAAAUACCAUCCCGUACUAGAUAUAAGAUAGCUUGAGAUACACGAAACUAUAGAUAGAUAUAGAUUGAAAACCAUGGGAUUACCAUCUCGUACUAGAUAUAGAUUGAAAACCAUGGGAUUAUCAUCCCGUACUAGAUAUAGAUUCAAAACCAUGGGAUUAUCAUCUCGUACUAGAUACAAGAAACUAUAGAUAGAAGAUAGAUAUAAAAUCAAAUCCGUGAAUAAACUUAUAUUAAUACGUAUUGUGAGUCGGGUAACCGUGCUGAUGCGACACCGAGACCUCCUUGACGUUCGUCAGACGUCGGACAAUUUCUAGAAUUUGUCACCCCAGGCGUGCCCGCCUAACUGUAGCUAGCAGUUUAGGUGUGGGAUUGUCAGUCCCAAAUAGAUCUAUUCACAAAUUCCAUUCUCUCCCUCCAGGAGACUCUGGUUACACUUCCGGGGAGGAUUUACUGAUAACCCAAAGGGUUUAAUAAUGACGAAUAUCACAAGCUAAUAUUAAAUUAUUCACGGUGUUCUCCGACGUUAUCAAACAUACUAAUCAUUUUGGAACAUAAUACGGUAAAAACAGUUUAAUACAAAGAAACUAUCUGGUAUAAUACUUUACAAUAACCAGAGAUAAACUGAAUCAGACAUAGUUUAUCUAUUAACAUUACAUGAAAUCCGAAUUCAUAAAACGAGAACUGAAGAUCCCAAAUUAUUCCCAUAAUAAUUUGAUUGAUUUGAUUGUUUCCUUUACUGAAAUCCAUGUAGUUGUAUUCGAUAAAACAUCCCUUAUGCUCCGUAUAAUACAUAAGGGGUAAAGAUAUCAAAAGUUUGCCAGAUAUUUAUAGAAUUACAUCAGUUUUUAAGUUUCGAAAACAUUUAUAGUUUGCUUGUAUCCCCCUCCCCUGAAAACAUUGAAAAACAUUGAAAAAGGCGUAGGGGUAUGAACUCACCAAUCGAAGAACGUGUCAUCUAGGAUGCUAAGUGUCAGAUCGGGGCUUGAUAACGCGUGAGGUUCUUAUGUAAUAUGAAAUGAUACACAAUUGUAUCUAAUUAUACUUUGAAUCACUAAUUAGAUAAGAUUAUACGCUCCAAGACGCGAAAAUACUUUAAAAUAAGUGUUUGGAGUGACCCCGAUGACAUCUAAGGACGUAUAAGGCUUGGAUAUGGAGUUUAUUUUUCAAGAGUAAACUCAUAAGAGGGUUUACGGCCCUAAUGACCCUCUCCCCAUGAGUUUACGGUAGUAAACUCAUGGUGGGGUGUUCUAUGAUGUUAAAUGGCCUUAUAUCACUUGGGAAAAUUAGCUAGGAUCAAAUCUAGGGCAUAGGAAUGGAUUAAACUCAGAUAUGGACCAUUUAAUGGAGUUUACGAUAGUAAACUAGGAGUUUACGGCCGUAAACUCCCCCACACUCAAUCCCUUGAUGUUUUGGUGGUUCUAGGUCAUUACAAUGCACAUAGGAAGGUUCUAGGGUUGAUUCCAUGGCUUAGGAAGUGUUUGGGACUUGAAUUGACCUUGGAAAAGUAGUUUACGGUCUAUGAAGAUGUUCUUGAGAGUUUACUACCUUAAACAGAUGAGUUUACAACCGUAAACUCAUGUUUGUCCAAGAUUCAUGGGUUUUGGUGGUUGAAAGUCAAGCAUACUAAGUUCUAGACCCAUUUCUAAACCAUACAAGGUGUUAAGGGCACUUUAACACCCAUUGGAUGAGUUUAAGGUCUAAGGAGAUAAGUUUACGGUCCAAGAAUGUUCUUGGGAUGUAAACUCAAGCUUGUCCCAUUUGUAUAUGAUUUGGUGCAUUUCUUGAAGGAUUAAAAGGUUCUAUACUCUCAUGGAAGCCUGUUGGAGGUGUUUAGGGGCAAACUAACACCUUAAAAUGAGUUUACUCCCCAUGAAUAGGUGUUUACGGUCCAAGCAUGUGCUUGGGCCGUAAAAUCAUGCUUAUGCCCCAAAUGAUGAGUUCAAAAGUCCAUGCAAUUAAGUCCCUUAGUCAUAUCUAAGCUCCAAAUGAGGUUUGGAAGGUUUAAGGCUCAAAACCCCUUAUUACAUGUGUUCACGGCCUAAGGACGUUCCACGACCGUAAACACAUGUUUAUGGUCCUUUUCCUCAUAUAUUUCAUGAAUUUGAAGGCCAAAGGUGUUAUACUAGGAGCUAGGAUAGUUACCUUGAUGAUUUGGAGCUUGAUUUGGAUGAUUUUUGCUUGAUUUCGAGUUUUAGAGAGAGAAAGUAGAGAGAGAGUGAAAAAGGCUUCAAAUGAGGCUCUCUCAACUUUAUAUAUGCUCAAAGUCUGGGACACGGUGGAAUUCUACCAGAUACUGACGCUAUACGAGGCUUUUGGGCACACCCGAUUAAGUUACCGUAAUUGCAACUAAGAUGAAGCUAAUUAUUUUCUAAAGGAAAUUAGAAAAUAUUUUAAAGUUUUAAAAUGUAUCCCGACACUUCUGAAAUUUAAAGAGAAGUUGCAAUUAAAUUAAAUUAAAACAAAGUUAACGGAAAAAUUGGAACGUAACGGCUUUAUUAACGGAACCGGGUUACGAUAACGGAACGAACUUCAGGUUGUCACACUUCGCAAUUUAAAAAAGCAUUGAUGAGCAUUGUUUAAUUCUUGAGUUCCACAAUUGAUGUGGUGCUUUCAGUUUAGCAAAGCUUUUAAGAGCAUUGUUUAAUUCUUGAGUUCCACAAUAGAAGUCUAUGCAAUUUACGAAGGUUUUGAUGAGCACUGUUUAAUUCUUGAGUUCCACAUUACAAGUAGUCUUCGCUAUUUAGCAAAGCAUUGAUGAGUAUUGUUUAUUUCUUGAGUUCCACAAUAAAAGUCUAUGAAAUUUAAGCAAACCUUUGAUGAGCAUUCUUUCAUUCUUGAGUUCCAAAUUAAAAGUCUAUGCAAUUUUCCAAAUCAUUGAUGAGUAUAGUUGAAUUCUAGAGUUCCAUAAUAGAUGCAGUCUUCGCAAUUUAGCAAAGCUUUAAUGAGCGUUGAUUAAUUCUUGAGUUCCACAUUAGAAUUCUAUGCAAUUUUGCAAAUCCUUGAUGAGUAUUGUUUAUUUCUUGAGUUCCACAUUAGAAUUCUAUGCAAUUUUGCAAAUCCUUGAUGAGUAUUGUUUAUUUCUUGAGUUCCACAUUAGAAUUCUAUGCAAUUUUGCAAAUCCUUGAUGAGUAUUGUUUAUUUCUUGAGUUCCACAUUAGAAUUCUAUGCAAUUUUGCAAAUCCUUGAUGAGUAUUGUUUAUUUCUUGAGUUCCACAUUAGAAUUCUAUGCAAUUUUGCAAAUCCUUGAUGAGUAUUGUUUAUUUCUUGAGUUCCACAUUAGAAUUCUAUGCAAUUUUGCAAAUCCUUGAUGAGUAUUGUUUAUUUCUUGAGUUCCACAUUAGAAUUCUAUGCAAUUUUGCAAAUCCUUGAUGAGUAUUGUUUAUUUCUUGAGUUCCACAUUAGAAUUCUAUGCAAUUUUGCAAAUCCUUGAUGAGUAUUGUUUAUUUCUUGAGUUCCACAUUAGAAUUCUAUGCAAUUUUGCAAAUCCUUGAUGAGUAUUGUUUAUUUCUUGAGUUCCACAUUAGAAUUCUAUGCAAUUUUGCAAAUCCUUGAUGAGUAUUGUUUAUUUCUUGAGUUCCACAUUAGAAUUCUAUGCAAUUUUGCAAAUCCUUGAUGAGUAUUGUUUAUUUCUUGAGUUCCACAAUAGAAGUCUAUGCAAUUUACAAAGGUUUUGAUGAGCAUUUUUGAAUUCUUGAGUUCCACAUUAUAAGUAGUCUUCUCUAUUUAGCAAAGCUUUGAUGAGUAUUGUUUAUUUCUUGAGUUCAACAAUAAAAGUCUAUGCAAUUUAAGCAAACCUUUGAUGAGAAUUCUUUCAUUCUUGAGUUCCACAUUAGAAUUCUAUGCAAUUUUGCAAAUCUUUGAUGAGUAUUGUUUAAUUCUAGAGUUCCAAAAUAGAUGUAGUCUUCGCAAUUUAGCAACGCUAUUAUGAGCAUCAUUUAAUUGUUAAGUUCCACAAUAGAAGUCUAUGCAAUUUAAGCAAAGCUUUGAUGAGCAUUAUUUCAUUCUUGGGCUCUAUGUUAGAAUUCUAUGAAAUUUUGCAAAGCAUUGUUUAAUUCUUGAGUUCCAUAAUAUAAAUAGUCUUUGCAAUUUAGCAAAGCUUUUAUGAGCAAUGAUUAAUUCUUGAGUUGCACAAUCGUGUAUGCUAUUUAUGCAAAGCUUUGAUGAGCAUUGUUUAAUACUUGAGUUCCACAUUAGAAGUCUAUGCAAUUUACCAGAGCUUUGAUGAGCAUUGUUUAAUGCUAGAGUUCCACAAUAGAAGUAAUCUUCGCAAUUUAGCAAAGCUUUGAUAAGCAUUGUUUAAUUCUUAAGUUCCACAAUAGAAGUCUAUGCAAUUUAAGCAAAGCUUUAUCAUAUUGAUUCAUUAUUGAUUUUCACAUUAGAAGUCUAUCAAUUUUUCAAAGUUUUGAUGAGCAUUGUUUAAUUUUUGAGUUCCACAAUAAAAGUAGUCUUCGCAAUUUAGCAAAGCUUUGAUGAGCAAUGUUUAAUUCUUAAGUUCCACAAUAGAAGUCUAUGCAAUUUAAGCAAAGCUUUGAUGAGCAUUGUUUCAUUCUUGAGUUCCACAAUAGAUGUCUAUGCAAUUUAGCAAAGCUUUGAUUCACAUUGUUUAACUCUUGAGUUCCACAAUAGAUGUAGACUUUGCAAUUUAGCUAAGCGAAGAUGAGCAUUGUUAAAUUCUUGAGUUCCACAAUAGAAGUCUAUGCAAUUUAAGCAAAGCUUUGAUGAGCAUUGUUUCAUUCUUUAGUUCCACAUUAGAAGUCUAUGCAAUUUAGCAAAGCUUUGAUGUGCAUUGUUUAGUUCUUGAGUUCCACAGUAGAAGCAGUCUUCGCAAUUUAGCAAAGCUUUAAUGAGCAUUGUUUAAUUCUUGAGUUCCAUAAUUGUUGUGGUGUUUUCAGUUUAGCAAAGCUUUUAUGAGCAUUGUUUAAUUCUUGAGUUCCA
Molecule: long non-coding RNA, 17032 nt
Filed under: Lactuca sativa (garden lettuce)
Lineage: Eukaryota; Viridiplantae; Streptophyta; Magnoliopsida; Asterales; Asteraceae
Description: long non-coding RNA (LSAT_LNC009593)
Source: RNAcentral